ACCAGCCAACCCUAGAGCCUCUCCAGUCUCCACUGCUCGGCCGCCGCCUGCCGCAGCCCGCCGUCCACUGGUCCCGCCUCCCGGCGUCCGCUCCACGCCUCCACUGCUCCCGGCGUCCGCUCCAUUGCUACCAUCGUCCGGCGUUCUGCUCCUGCGCCCUCCCUUUGAUUCGUUGCCAGUUGUAGUGUCCGGGCAGAUUUGAGCUGUGGCAGCAAGCAAGGAUUGACGAAGCGUGCGUUCCCAUCGCACCACCAUGGGCUACACAGAGAUCGACAUCCACCCCUCUGGGAGCGGCAAGGUACCGACCCCCUGCCCUUACAACUCCUAGAGCUCUACCCCUCACGCUGACCUUAGGGAGACAGGAUGGUUUGCUCGCCUACUAGAGGACAUGCUCUGAUGGUGUUCCCUCUGCUACCAUUUUUAGUUCUUGAUUGUAAAGUGUAUGUUCUACAUUUUGAAAUAGAACUGGAUUGUGCAUAUUUUGUUCUACAUGUAAAGUGUAUGUUCUACAUGUACCUUUUAGAUCGCUUGCAAUAUGAUUUAUUUUAACACAUAUUUGAAAUAGAACUGGAUUGUGCAUAUUUUGUAAAGUGUAUGUUCUACAUUUUGUAAUUCGUAUUAUUCAUUUUUCCUUUAGUUUUUCUCUUUCUACAACUCCUGUCUCUUUACAAUCAAAUUUCAGAUGUGAUAGAUAUUAGUAUGAAAGAUAAAAACUAGAAUGCUAUGCCUGUCAGAGGAGCUUUCUUCAGUUUCAGGUACUGCUCUGCUUUAUUAGUCAUCCAGCCGAUGGAUAAUUUCUAUACGUGUAUCGCCCCUGCACUUUCAAACACAUGUUCAUUGUUUCCAAUCACAUAAUUUUUUUCUUCUCUUAGAUUUACUAUGUGGUUGUGGUCUCAGUUUGGUUUGUAGGUUAAUUUGUAUACUCAUGUGAUUUUAGUUUUUCCGUGUAUUUUAUGUUCAUUUAGUAUGUCUUAAUUUAGUUACUUUCAAUUCUUGAUGCUAAUAAUAUGGAUAGAUUGCGACACUACUUUCUGGCUUGAGCAGAAAUGAGUUUGUUGUAUAUAGCAGAAUAUAGUUGUCGUAGCUGGCAACAAUGACCGCUCUUUGGAUGAUCUGAAAACUAUUCUGUAGUCAGGUAGUUAAAUAUAGCUGAAUAUCCAUUAUUAUGUUUUAUUAAUCUUAUUUGUUUUUUCUGUCAAAAGAACACACCUCUCCAUCUUUCGGUGCUUGGUGGAUCACCGUCUAAACGAUCCACCACCAGAACCGCCCAACCCCAAGAUAGCUCCAUCUCAGUCGUUGUACCCGUUCAAUGGCGAGCUGGUGGCAGCGAUGUAGGAGAUGAUCCAUGCCGAGGUGCACAAGUACAUGUUAGUGGACGGCACCUGCCAAAGAUACACCGUUUCUACUGACAAUCCGUCUUUUUUAUUGCUUAUGGCGUUGUGCAUUAUACAUGUCCACCAAUUAUAUACAAAUACCAUUUGUGGGUUACCUCUGGUGUGUUUAGGUGCGAGCUGCAAUCAAAGUUAAGGCAUUAGUCAUCAUUUGCUUCACCUCUUCUGGACAGGCUGCAAGGGUGUUCUGGACAAAGAAAGCUUGUACCUUAAAACAAGAGGAUACAAGAAGCUGGAGUGGUUGUCUAAAGGCUUUUGAACUGCUUGAAGCAUUAGUGUAGCUUUGGUGAUUUUGUGACUGAUCAGCUCUGGAGCAGCUAGAGUGAUGUAGUUGUGGGCUUUUGAACAAUAGCUGGAGUGAUAUGAAACAUUAGUGAUGUGGUUGUGGGCUUUUGAACUGCUUCAAGCUGGAGUGAUGUCGCUGUGUUGCUUUUGUGACUGAUCAUCUCUGGAGCUUUUGUGAAUGAUCUAACUAGCUAUAUGUAAAUGAUCUAGUUGUGAAUGGUAUUAUAAUUGUGAUGAUUUUGUGAA
Zea mays is the source of this 1922-nucleotide RNA transcript. It is a transcript of the gene named ubiquinol-cytochrome C chaperone - pyruvate kinase pseudogene, with no coding region annotated. The record is from RefSeq and is marked validated. Lineage: Eukaryota; Viridiplantae; Streptophyta; Magnoliopsida; Poales; Poaceae.